UAUAACAUGUACACUCAGAAAAAUGAGAAAAAUAUCCCAUCUAUGUAUGAUAUAUCAAAAAGCAUAAAUGCAUUCUACUAUCAUGAAUAAAACAAAUUUACAAAUUAAAAACAAAAAAGUUACAGAGACUGUUCUUAGCAAAUGACAGGGAUUUUAACUCAUACACAAUCCUGUAUCUAUGGGUUUUAUGGUUUGGGCCAGUGACUCCCUGUGUUCCAAACACAAGCAACAAGUCCAACACAUUCAUGGGAAUAGACUCUCCUCUAGGCCAUCCCAUGAGGCCAGAGCCACAUGCACCAUCAUAAUCUUAGUGAGCUCACUUUUUGUUUUCUGUUCAUUCUACACUAUCUUGGAUAUUUGGAUACCUCUGUUUGCAAAUUUAGGCCAGUGGAUAGUGAACUGCUCUGUGAUUGUAUCCUCAUGUUUCCCAGAGUUCAGCCCCAGAUGUGUCUUAAAUGCUGCAAGUAUAAGUUUUGUCUUGAAAUGCCAAUAAUGUUUGUUUUAUACAGAUAUUUUCAGGUAUCGUCAGUGAUAUCCAUGUCUUUUGAUUCUGCUUUGCCUGCAGCCUGAGGAAGAACUCACUAUCUACCUACAGUAAAUAUGGCACAUUUUUUCAAAACAUCUUUAAGUUUUCUUGUGCAAGUAGAUGUCAGAAGGGUUACAGCUGAUGAGUUAAAACUGGUUUUCUUCAUCUUGUUACCACGUCUGUUGUAUUCAUGGAGUUCAACAUUAGCUAAAGUUUGGAAGCUGUUAAGUGCUACUAGUCUAUGAUGCUAAGAGAAGCAUGGGCAGUGAUGUGCCUGACCACAUGGGUCUUGGCAGAGAGUUAAAACAAAUACUGUAUGUAAUUGACACGAGGAACACUCAGUCCAACUGUGUCACCUUCACUAUCAAGCCCAGGAAAUCUUAAAGUAGGUUAAUGGGGGAAAGUUUGAGCUCAGUGAUGUAGGGAACUUCUCACACUGAAUUGUGAAGAAUCACGGAGAUCUCACAGAUAGUUUGGACACAGAAUCUGGUUCUGGUGCUUCUUGCAUAGGACAGAUCUCCUUGAGGGGCCUCAAGUAAGAACUCCUGUAUGGCCUCGUGGGACUGAGGGACGUCCAGGAGACAUGGAGAGAGCAGAAGUCUGUGAAGCUGGAAAUGGCAGUGCUCCAUAUGAAAAUCAUCUAUAAGACGUCUAGUCAGAAUGAUUAAUGUCUUUAAUUAAGAUGUCAGAUCAUGAUUAUGAUGCAUUAGAUUAAAACAUAUGACAUAGAUCUUCAAAGAAUACAAAUUACUAAUGGCCAACAUGAAGUAUCUAAGUUAUUUACAAAAUAUUUUGUUAGCUAAUUUCACCUAGUGUUUAAAAGUUUGGAUAUAAUUUAAAUACUGGAGAAUGAGUAAAGAUCUACUUCUCUCUAGAAAAUUGAGUAGAUUCAUUGUUCCUUUGAAUAUCCUCAUCCUUUACUAGAGAGAAUCACAAGGAUUAUGAAAGUACUUUUUAUUUACCUAUAUAAAUUCUGUAAUUAUAAGUUUUGUCUUGAAAAUGCCAAUAAUGUUUAUUUUAUACAGGUAUUAUAGACUUUAAAUUUUGCUGCAUUUCCAAACUCACAUUGAUUUUUAUCUCUUGAUUUUUUUCUAGUAAAAUGUCACAUAUCCUGUGCAAAUUUACUAUCAAAACUGUAUUUUAGCUAAGGGCAAGUGGGGCAUACCUGUAAUCCCAGCAGCUCAGGAGGCUGAGGUAGGAGGUUUGUGAGUUUAAAGCCAGCCUCAACAACAGCAAGGUGCUAAGCAACUCAGUGAGACCCUGUUUCUAAAUAAAAUAUGAAAAAGGACUGGGGAUGUGGCUCAGUGGUUGAGUGCCCCUGAGAUCAAUCCCCAGGAGCCAUUUCCCCCCCAAAAAACUAUUGUAUUUUAAGUAAAAAUUCUCUGAAAUAUUUUUCACAUUACCUUAAUGUAUACCAGAUUAAAUAUAAAUGAUGGAUUUAUUUGAUA
This 1974-nucleotide long non-coding RNA is filed under the name Marmota monax (woodchuck). The record is from RNAcentral. Lineage: Eukaryota; Metazoa; Chordata; Mammalia; Rodentia; Sciuridae.